AAGUCGUAACAAGGUUUCCGUAGGUGAACCUGCGGAAGGAUCAUUAACACUUUUAAUGAGCAUCCAAAACCUUUUUUGGAUCAACCCAACCAUUUUGCGAACCAAUUUUCUUCAUUUUAAUUUUUACAUUUUAUUUAAACUCUAUUAUUUUAUCAUUUGUGUCUGAUCCUUUUAUCGCUUUUUUUCUUUUAAUCGAGAAAAAACGAAAAAAAAAAUCUAACGCAAUACAACUCUUAACAACGGAUAUCUUGGCUCUC
This 257-nucleotide unclassified non-coding RNA is filed under the name fungal sp. RNAcentral describes it as "partial internal transcribed spacer region". The stretch from base 1 to 46 matches the Rfam family "Eukaryotic small subunit ribosomal RNA", at positions 1786 to 1831 of the family's 1831-position model. Lineage: Eukaryota; Fungi. The record is from RNAcentral.